Molecule: long non-coding RNA, 218 nt
Filed under: Hordeum vulgare
Lineage: Eukaryota; Viridiplantae; Streptophyta; Magnoliopsida; Poales; Poaceae
Description: long non-coding RNA (HVUL_LNC010991)
Source: RNAcentral
GGCGAGAUGUCAUCAAUAUACACUAAAUUUCGAGCGUGUGCAACAUAUAGGGGUAGAAAUCACUACACAUGCUUUCUACUGUUGACUUCAAUCUGAAGCUCACAUAUGUGUUAGAUGGCUAGGAAGGAUCAUCCAAUGUUGUAACAUUUUUUCUGACAACAUGGUUCGACGUGAUAUUAAUAUCCCCAAUGGAAAGUUCUACCUAGGGGAUGCUGGCU